AUGGUUUUGGAUUGGGUGGGUCAGAGAAGGCAUCCCUUGUCUGCUGACCCAAGGCUCCUGGAGCCUGGUUGGGGGAUCCUGCUCGGGCCGGCCGGCGCUUGGCGAGGGAUCCGUGGAUUGGGACUGAGAGGAAGGGCCUUUGCCAUACGCACCACGGAAGGAGAAGGGCCUCUAUUCCAGAAGAAGAACUCAGACCAUCAGCAAGAGAAAUUACACAGGUGGCAGCAUCUUCCAAUUCGUGGGUCAGUGCCGGUGGUUCCUCUUCCCUUCCAUAGAGGAGUAUUCUGCUUGGUCCAUCUUAGAAUGCGAUUAAAUUGGGGGAAUCCUAGAAACAAAAUAUGCAGAAUUUGAGGAAUGUGAGUAUUAUAUUUUUGAUUUUGGCAUGGAUAAAAAGGUGAGUUCACAUUGUAAAAAUCCACCACGCUAUGCUUAUGACCUUUGUACUUUUCAUAUGUAAGUUAUACUUCUAUAAGUUCAAAAUGACACACACUUUAAAUGUUGUAUUUUAAUCUAAAUUAUAGUUUGCACUAGUUUUCCCACAUUAUGAUGAUUAGACUCUGUGUCAAAAUUUUUUAAAUUUUGAAAUACAUUAGUACAGACAAAAUGCUCAGAGCCUGAUGUGUAGGAAGCACUUAAUAAAUGUCAGCACUGUUUCGUGCGCAUACUCACGAUGCCUCAUUUGCAAUUUCCAGUCCUGCAUUAUCUGCAGUGGAGGAAGAACUUGGAGACACUUUCCUGGCAAUCUGAUGGCAGAAUCCUUCUAGAAUUUUGUGAGUUUUCCCAACCUUUUACAGAUAACUUGCUCAUACCUAUUUUAACAGCAGUUCUAAAAGCAACUUACCCUAAUGGGUCUUUGCAAAGCACCCACCUUGGUUCUCACAGAACUGACUUUCCUUGAUGCUUCUAUGUCAUUAGUCGACAUAUCAGUUAAUUAAAGUAUAUAAAUCAAUAAUGAGAUC
This 959-nucleotide long non-coding RNA is filed under the name Callithrix jacchus (white-tufted-ear marmoset). Its description in RNAcentral is "lncRNA (ENSCJAG00000060614.2)". Lineage: Eukaryota; Metazoa; Chordata; Mammalia; Primates; Cebidae. The record is from RNAcentral.